RNAcentral lists this ribosomal RNA (253 nucleotides) under uncultured bacterium. Its description in RNAcentral is "partial 16S ribosomal RNA". It matches the Rfam family "Bacterial small subunit ribosomal RNA", at positions 524 to 776 of the family's 1533-position model. The record is from RNAcentral.
UACGGAGGGGGCUAGCGUUGUUCGGAAUUACUGGGCGUAAAGCGCACGUAGGCGGAUUGUUAAGUCAGGGGUGAAAUCCUGGAGCUCAACUCCAGAACUGCCUUUGAUACUGGCGAUCUUGAGUCCGGGAGAGGUGAGUGGAACUGCGAGUGUAGAGGUGAAAUUCGUAGAUAUUCGCAAGAACACCAGUGGCGAAGGCGGCUCACUGGCCCGGUACUGACGCUGAGGUGCGAAAGCGUGGGGAGCAAACAGG